GAAAUUGGACUAAGGGGUACUAAUUAGAAACUUGUUACUAAGGUCCCAGUAAUCCCAAAUCAAAUCACAAAUGAAAAUUAUCUGGAAAGUGUUUUAUGAAAAAUACAGAUGAGAUUUUAAUGUAGAAAUUGAUUAUUUCAGAAAUGAGUUCUAGAAAUCUGUCUUUAAAAAUACCCUCAAGGUGAUUCAAAUGAGUGCUAGGUGUCUAUUCCAUGUGUGAUAUUACAUUGGAAGAGAUGAUAAGACAAAGAAAUAGAUUCCAAAGAAUUUGGAAUGUAGAUCCCCUAGUAUUCUAUGACAUAUUUGGUGGGAAACAAAAGGUAAUAAAGGAGGUAAGAGUCACUUGGUGACUGGGUAGUUGGUCAUUAAAUAUUGAGGAUGGGAACUCAGAUGUGCUAGCAAGUUCUUGGAGUGAGUAUCCUGCAGCCAACUAGGCCUUCAUCAUGGGAGGACCUAGAUUAUCAAAGAGCCUUGAUCACUGGAAAACAAUAAAUGGUAAAUGUGGCUGGUUUGAAAAGAGAGAAGCAAGGAAGGCCAGAAUGUUUCUUGAAAAAGACAAAGAAAUAAGACAAAUAAUACAUAGAAUACACAGAAGUCACUGAAAACUCUUCAGUAGAGAGAUGUAAGCAGUUUAACGUGCUGACCAGAAUCAACUAAGCAAAAGAAUGAAUGCUGAUGCACACAAUAUAAAGAACAAGUGACAAUAAUUCUACAUGGAUGAAGUGAAAAUGUUCAGCUGGGCAUUGUGGAUUUAGAUAUGUGUGAGAAAUACAGAUUAUACUACAGUGUACUGAGGACUUCGGAAUCAUAAACAUUAAGUCACUGGAAGCCAGUUCUAGUUUUCACAAUUGAAAUUAUACUUUAUGCCACAAUUUUCCACAGCAUGUGACACUAGUGACAUUUUAUGUGAACUUCAGUUUGUAUAUAAAUUGGAUGUUCUUCAUCGGGAAGAAUAGCUAAUGGAUGCUGGGCUUCCUACCUAGGUGAUGGGUUCAUCUGUGUAGCAAACCACCACAGCAC
Molecule: non-coding RNA, 1020 nt
Organism: Macaca mulatta (Rhesus monkey)
Lineage: Eukaryota; Metazoa; Chordata; Mammalia; Primates; Cercopithecidae
Source: RefSeq, a predicted model, not a curated record